RNAcentral lists this ribosomal RNA (487 nucleotides) under uncultured bacterium. RNAcentral's name for it is "bacterial SSU rRNA". It matches the Rfam family "Bacterial small subunit ribosomal RNA", at positions 15 to 518 of the family's 1533-position model. The record is from RNAcentral.
GAUCAUGGCUCAGGAUGAACGCUGGCGGCGUGCUUAACACAUCAAGUCGAACGAGCGAGAGGAAGCAAUUCCUUUGCUAGUGGCGGACGGGUGAGUAACGCGUGAGCAACCUACCUUUGUGAGUGGGAUAACAAUUGGAAACGAUUGCUAAUACCGCAUAACGUAUAGAUAUUGCAUGAUAACUAUACCAAAGAAAUUCGCACAAAGAUGGGCUCGCGUCCCAUUAGACAGUUGGUGAGGUAACGGCCCACCAAAUCUACGAUGGGUAGCCGGACUGAGAGGUUGAACGGCCACAUUGGAACUGAGAAGCGGUCCAGACUCCUACGGGAGGCAGCAGUGGGGAAUAUUGGGCAAUGGACGAAAGUCCUGACCCAGCGACGCCGCGUGAAGGAAGAAGGUCUUCGGAUUGUAAACUUUAGUCAACAGGGAAGAAGAAAGUGACGGUACCUGUAGAGGAAGCCACGGCUAACUACGUGCCAGCCGCCGC